Teleopsis dalmanni is the source of this 442-nucleotide long non-coding RNA. RefSeq lists it as uncharacterized. The record is from RefSeq and is a predicted model, not a curated record. The transcript has 5 exons. Lineage: Eukaryota; Metazoa; Arthropoda; Insecta; Diptera; Diopsidae.
AUAUUUCAAUUUGUUUUUUAGUUUUAUUACUUUUCUUUUAUUUUCUUCAGGUCAAGUCAUGCCCUCGGCUUAUUGACGCAUGGACUGCAGGUUGGGCACAGAAUUUUGUUGAGGAUGGAUUCAUGUCAAUGGCAAAAAGAAGCACAGAAAAUGAAGAGAAGGAGAAAUGCUUGGUCGGAAAAUGCCGAGAGGCACUUUUUGGAAAUAUGGGAGGAAAGACUGCCACAAUUACGGGGCGCCCGACGGAACGCACAUAUUUUCAAUGAGAUGGCCACAAAACUUCAGAAUAGGGGUUUUCUGGUCACUUCGUUAGAAGUGCAAACGAAGGUCCACAACUUUACACAAAGAUAGGAAAGAACAGCAGUGUGUUGGAGUUUCGGGAGGGGCGCCAUCCGACUGGAAGUACUUUCAUAUAUUGAAAAGAUUCCUAGGCAAUUUGCCC